This 253-nucleotide ribosomal RNA is filed under the name uncultured bacterium. RNAcentral describes it as "partial 16S ribosomal RNA". It matches the Rfam family "Bacterial small subunit ribosomal RNA", at positions 524 to 776 of the family's 1533-position model. The record is from RNAcentral.
UACGUAGGGGGCAAGCGUUGUCCGGAUUUACUGGGCGUAAAGAGCGUGUAGGCGGCCAAGCAGGUCCGUUGUGAAAACUGGAGGCUUAACCUCCAGACGUCGACGGAAACCGCGCGGCUAGAGUCCGGAAGAGGAGAAUGGAAUUCCCGGUGUAGCGGUGAAAUGCGCAGAUAUCGGGAGGAACACCUAUGGCGAAGGCAGCUCGCUGGGACGUUACUGACGCUGAGGAGCGAAAGCCAGGGGAGCAAACGGG